GUUCCCUGUGAUGUUCAUACCAACCAUGCUAAUGCUGAGAUCAUUUGCUGAAGAACUCAUUGUAUGCUUUUCUCAGGGAAUU
This is a small nucleolar RNA of Elaeis guineensis (African oil palm), 82 nucleotides long. RefSeq annotates it as small nucleolar RNA snoR53Y. Lineage: Eukaryota; Viridiplantae; Streptophyta; Magnoliopsida; Arecales; Arecaceae. The record is from RefSeq and is a predicted model, not a curated record.